GACGUAGGUGACGAACGUUAUCCGGAAUUAUUGGGCGUAAAGGGUGCGUAGAUGGUUUGAUGAGUUAUUGGUGGUAAAUUAGAGCCCAACUCUGCGGAAGCCAAUAAUACUAUCAUACUUGAGUGCAGAAGAGGUUAACGGAAUUCCCGGUGUAGUGGUGAUAUGCGUAGAUAUCGGGAGGAACACCGGUGGCGAAGGCGGCCCACUGGAUCGGUACUGACGCUGAGGUGCGAAAGCGUGGGGAGCAAACAGG
Molecule: ribosomal RNA, 253 nt
Filed under: uncultured bacterium
Lineage: Bacteria
Description: partial 16S ribosomal RNA
Rfam family: Bacterial small subunit ribosomal RNA
Source: RNAcentral